GAACGCUGGCGGCGUGCUUAACACAUGCAAGUCGAACGAUGAAGCCNAGCUUGCUGGGUGGAUUAGUGGCGAACGGGUGAGUAACACGUGAGUAACCUACCCUUGACUCUGGGAUAAGCCUGGGAAACUGGGUCUAAUACUGGAUAUGACUUCUCACCGCAUGGUGGGGGGUGGAAAGAUUUAUUGGUCUUGGAUGGACUCGCGGCCUAUCAGCUUGUUGGUGAGGUAAUGGCUCACCAAGGCGACGACGGGUAGCCGGCCUGAGAGGGUGACCGGCCACACUGGGACUGAGACACGGCCCAGACUCCUACGGGAGGCAGCAGUGGGGAAUAUUGCACAAUGGGCGCAAGCCUGAUGCAGCGACGCCGCGUGAGGGAUGACGGCCUUCGGGUUGUAAACCUCUUUCAGUAGGGAAGAAGCGAAAGUGACGGUACCUGCAGAAGAAGCGCCGGCUAACUACGUGCCAGCAGCCGCGGUAAUACGUAGGGCGCGAGCGUUAUCCGGAAUUAUUGGGCGUAAAGAGCUCGUAGGCGGUUUGUCGCGUCUGCCGUGAAAGUCCGGGGCUUAACCCCGGAUCUGCGGUGGGUACGGGCAGACUAG
RNAcentral lists this ribosomal RNA (600 nucleotides) under Arthrobacter sp. YIM C348. Its description in RNAcentral is "bacterial SSU rRNA". It matches the Rfam family "Bacterial small subunit ribosomal RNA", at positions 31 to 644 of the family's 1533-position model. Lineage: Bacteria; Bacillati; Actinomycetota; Actinomycetes; Micrococcales; Micrococcaceae. The record is from RNAcentral.